This 775-nucleotide ribosomal RNA is filed under the name uncultured Neocallimastigales. RNAcentral's name for it is "partial large subunit ribosomal RNA". It matches the Rfam family "Eukaryotic large subunit ribosomal RNA", at positions 22 to 635 of the family's 3401-position model. Lineage: Eukaryota; Fungi; Neocallimastigomycota; Neocallimastigomycetes; Neocallimastigales. The record is from RNAcentral.
GUACACGCUGUGACUAGCAUAUCAAUAAGCGGAGGAAAAGAAACUAACAAGGAUUCCCUUAGUAACGGCGAGUGAAGCGGGAAGAGCUCAAAUUUGAAAUCUUCAAGGUUUUACCUUGACGAAUUGUAGUUUAAAGAAGUGUUUUCUGCUGAAGUUUUGGUAAAGUUCUUUGGAAUAGGACAUCAUAGAGGGUGAGAAUCCCGUAUUUGACCAUUAUUUUCAGCUUUGUGAUACACUUUCAAAGAGUCGGAUUGUUUGGGAAUGUAGUCCAAAAUGGGUGGUAAAUUUCAUCUAAAGCUAAAUAUUGGCGAGAGAUCGAUAGCGAACAAGUACCAUGAGGGAAAGAUGAAAAGAACUUUGAAAAGAGAGUUAAACAGUACGUGAAAUUGUCAAAAGGGAAGCGUUUGACACCAGUGUUGUUUUCUCGAAAAUCAAUUAAAAAUGGCUCGAUUUUGUAUUGUUUGAGACCUUAAAAGCUCACUGUACAUUUUUCGUGUCUUUUUUAAUGCACUUUUCGUUUAACAAGUCAACAUCAGUUUCUUUUGUUGUAAAAGGGUCAUUGGAAGGUGGCUUUCUUUUCGGAGAAAGUGUUUAGUAGCCUUUGGCCUCUGCAAUCGAAGAGACUGAGGUCUGCAGCGUAGACUCUUCGGGGUUAGAUACAUUUGUGCUAAGUUAUAGCUUUUUAUAGACAACUUGUUGACUAUAAUUAGUCUUGUAGCUUACUCGCUUAUGCUAUUUUACCUACGCUUAGGAUGUUGAUCUACAGAGCGAGAGU